Molecule: ribosomal RNA, 253 nt
Filed under: uncultured bacterium
Lineage: Bacteria
Description: partial 16S ribosomal RNA
Rfam family: Bacterial small subunit ribosomal RNA
Source: RNAcentral
CACGUAGGGCGCAAGCGUUGUCCGGAAUUAUUGGGCGUAAAGGGCUCGUAGGCGGUCUGUCACGUCGGGAGUGAAAACUCAGGGCUUAACCCUGAGCCUGCUUCCGAUACGGGCAGACUAGAGGUAUGCAGGGGAGAACGGAAUUCCUGGUGUAGCGGUGAAAUGCGCAGAUAUCAGGAGGAACACCGGUGGCGAAGGCGGUUCUCUGGGCAUUACCUGACGCUGAGGAGCGAAAGUGUGGGGAGCGAACAGG